GAUGAACGCUGGCGGCGUGCCUAGUACAUGCAAGUCGAGCGAACAGACGAGGAGCUUGCUCCUCUGACGUUAGCGGCGGACGGGUGAGUAACACGUGGAUAACCUACCUAUAGGACUGGGAUAACUUCGGGAAACCGGAGCUAAUACCGGAUAAUAUAUUGAACCGCAUGGUUCAAUAGUGAAAGACGGUUUUGCUGUCACUUAUAGAUGGAUCCGCGCCGCAUUAGCUAGUUGGUAAGGUAACGGCUUACCAAGGCAACGAUGCGUAGCCGACCUGAGGGGGUGAUCGGCCACACUGGAACUGAGACACGGUCCAGACUCCUACGGGAGGCAGCAGUAGGGAAUCUUCCGCAAUGGGCGAAAGCUUGACGGAGCAACGCCGCGUGAGUGAUGAAGGUCUUCGGAUCGUAAAACUCUGUUAUUAGGGAAGAACAAAUGUGUAAGUAACUAUGCACGUCUUGACGGUACCUAAUCAGAAAGCCACGGCUAACUACGUG
This 497-nucleotide ribosomal RNA is filed under the name uncultured bacterium. RNAcentral describes it as "partial 16S ribosomal RNA". It matches the Rfam family "Bacterial small subunit ribosomal RNA", at positions 28 to 507 of the family's 1533-position model. The record is from RNAcentral.